RNAcentral lists this long non-coding RNA (1153 nucleotides) under Equus caballus (horse). RNAcentral describes it as "lncRNA (ENSECAG00000050851.1)". Lineage: Eukaryota; Metazoa; Chordata; Mammalia; Perissodactyla; Equidae. The record is from RNAcentral.
CAGCAAGUUUCUCAUGAAAGUCUCCAGAUUCAAUCAAACUUCAAUACCUCAUUGGCACGAAGUAAACUGAUAUUUAACAUCUUUGGACAGCACUUCUUUACAGUUGUGUUUGGCCCAUGCUCCUACUUAUAGAAAGAGGCAAAUGGUAAAGUCAAUGCUUUAUGCCCUGGAAAGUGCCCCUAGUAGAGAACUUUGGUUUCCAAUGACACCAUAUAUUCUCCAUGUGUUCUGUCUUAUGCUUAGUAUGAAUGUUCACAGUUUCAAGAAAGAAGUCAUCAUUUUUAUGCAUUAGUGGUUGAGUUCUACAUGACAAGAAGCUUUCUCUUCUCUUCCUCCAAUAGUGAGCUGUGAGAUUAUUUGGACACAGGCAUAGAGCAUCAUGGGUUAUUCACAGCAGCACUGGGCAGAGGAAGAAGUUAAGACAUGAUUCGAGGUCUAAAUGACAAGGCAGGAUGUCUGGGAUGCCUGAUCCAGCUGCAGUGAUGGGACCUGGAGAGUCAGGCAAAGAUGGCAUCUUAAGCACAGAAGCCUUCCAAAUUCCAAUGAAAGUGUCAAAGGGAACACAAGAAUUGGAAAAUGUUGCAUCAGUGCUAGAAGCUAGAGAAGAACACCUUUCACCUACAGAAAUGUGAAUUGCAUAAGAAAUCAUUCCAAAACUGUCGCCUGAGCUUCCUCACAACAUGGCAGCCUCACGCUUUUUUACACAACAGUUCAGCUCCAAAGAUGAGUGUUUCAAAUGAACGGAGUGCACGCUCAAGGGCCUUCUACCAUGGCCUACCUCUGAAGCCAACUGCUGUACUCUGUUGGUCCACCAAUCACUCAGGUUGGUCCAGAUUCAGGCGGAAUACUUAGAGAUCUCACCUCUCAGCAGGAGGAACGUCAAAAAACUUGAAGCAUAAAUAUAUGUGGAAUACCAGAACCACAGAUGAAAUAAGAUCAUGUUCUCACUCUCCUGUUGUUCAGUCAGACGCCCGGGAUAGAUCUCAUCUUCUGAACAGUUAUCCAGCUGAGUAUCAGAGAUGCUCCUGCCUCUCAGGGUGUUCUUGCUUCUUCAUGACCAUACUUACAAAAGGCAUCUGUUCUUUUGACAAUGCCCACUUUAAUGGACAUUAAUUAAUGUCCAUAGCUGUGACUUUCAAAAUUUGUAUGUAUC